RNAcentral lists this ribosomal RNA (254 nucleotides) under uncultured bacterium. RNAcentral's name for it is "partial 16S ribosomal RNA". It matches the Rfam family "Bacterial small subunit ribosomal RNA", at positions 524 to 776 of the family's 1533-position model. The record is from RNAcentral.
CACGUAGGCACCAAGCGUUGUCCGGAUUUAUUGGGCGUAAAGAGCUCGUAGGCGGUUCAGUAAGUCAGGUGUGAAAUCUUUGGGCUUAACCCAAAGCGUGCACUUGAUACUGCUGUGACUUGAGUUCGGUAGGGGAGUGGGGAAUUCCUGGUGUAGCGGUGAAAUGCGCAGAUAUUAGGAGGAACACCGGUGGCGAAGGCGGGUCUCUGGGCCGAUACUGACGCUGAGGAGCGAAAGCAUGGGGAGCGAACAGG